GGCCGUCUUUCAUUAAUAUACAGUGAGGAUUUUGUCUAAAUUACUGCUAUGAAUUUCACAGUACACGCUUUCAAAAGCCGUCUCAGGUGGCCUGAUGCAACGCGAUAGCGCCUCUGCAAAGCUACUUUCUCAAUAAUAAAAUAAAAAAAGAAGUUUAUUUUUAUUUUUAAAGGAUCUCCUGCAAUAUUGCGUGUCUCUGAACAAACAACCCUUUCAAUCGAGGUUACAGUUUUUAUUUUAUUUAUUUAUUUAUUUAAAAGGGGGGGGAACUUAAUCCUCGCCCAUCCCCCAACAAUUCAUUUCCCCACCCCCCUCUCCUUGUAGAGUGUGAUUACUUUGUCUGGAAAAAAAAAUCCGAAGUAUAACAAGGGGAGAACAGUUAGUGCUGAUUUUCAUUUGCAUAAAUUUUCAUAUAUUUUGGUGAAAAUAAUAGACUAGUGGAGAGCAGGGCUUACUGGAGUCAGUGCAAAGGAAAAUCUUACCCUGGAUCGUUUUGCAGCAGUUUUGAGGCUCACGGAUUUCCCUCUUUCCUUCACUCACCAAGAGCAAAGCCCUUCAAAUUCAAAUUCUCUAUGCCUUGGAGUUUCUUUGGUCCUCCCCNUCUCUUUAUUUGGCUUCACCUGCCAAGCACCCACCCGCGUGGAGCGCCGCGCCUUCUUCGCAGGCCUAGGUGGGUCGACAUGAUCCUCCUNUCCCGGGAAAAGAUCAGGAAGAUCCUCCUGGUUUGAGCUU
This 732-nucleotide long non-coding RNA is filed under the name Salvator merianae (Argentine black and white tegu). RNAcentral's name for it is "lncRNA (ENSSMRG00000003802.1)". Lineage: Eukaryota; Metazoa; Chordata; Lepidosauria; Squamata; Teiidae. The record is from RNAcentral.